Molecule: ribosomal RNA, 683 nt
Filed under: uncultured Gammaproteobacteria bacterium
Lineage: Bacteria; Pseudomonadati; Pseudomonadota; Gammaproteobacteria
Description: bacterial SSU rRNA
Rfam family: Bacterial small subunit ribosomal RNA
Source: RNAcentral
UGCUAGCUUGCUAGCAGGCGUCGAGUGGCGGACGGGUGAGUAAUAUAUAGGGAUCUGCCUAAUAGUGGGGGACAACGUGUGGAAACGCACGCUAAUACCGCAUACGCUCUACGGAGGAAAGUGGGGGCUCUUCGGACCUCAUGCUAUUAGAUGAACCUAUAUCGGAUUAGCUUGUUGGUGAGGUAAUGGCUCACCAAGGCGACGAUCCGUAGCUGGUUUGAGAGAAUGAUCAGCCACACUGGGACUGAGACACGGCCCAGACUCCUACGGGAGGCAGCAGUGGGGAAUAUUGCACAAUGGACGAAAGUCUGAUGCAGCAAUGCCGCGUGUGUGAAGAAGGCCUUCGGGUUGUAAAGCACUUUCAGAUGUGAGGAAAAGCAGUCUAUUAAUACUAGAUUGCCGUGACGUUAACAUCAGAAGAAGGACCGGCUAACUCCGUGCCAGCAGCCGCGGUAAUACGGAGGGUCCAAGCGUUAAUCGGAAUUACUGGGCGUAAAGCGCGCGUAGGCGGAUAUUUAAGUCAGAUGUGAAAUCCCUGGGCUCAACCUAGGAACUGCAUUUGAAACUGGAUAUCUAGAGUAUGGUAGAGGUGAGUGGAAUUUCAGGUGUAGCGGUGAAAUGCGUAGAGAUCUGAAGGAACAUCAGUGGCGAANGCGACUCACUGGGCCAUUACUGACGCUGAG